Molecule: ribosomal RNA, 500 nt
Filed under: uncultured bacterium
Lineage: Bacteria
Description: partial 16S ribosomal RNA
Rfam family: Bacterial small subunit ribosomal RNA
Source: RNAcentral
AUCGAACGCUGGCGGAAUGCUUUACACAUGCAAGUCGAACGGCAGCACGGACUUCGGUCUGGUGGCGAGUGGCGAACGGGUGAGUAAUGUAUCGGAACGUGCCCAGUCGUGGGGGAUAACGUAGUGAAAAUUACGCUAAUACCGCAUACGAUCUAUGGAUGAAAGCGGGGGAUCGCAAGACCUCGCGCGAUUGGAGCGGCCGAUAUCAGAUUAGGUAGUUGGUGGGGUAAAGGCCCACCAAGCCAACGAUCUGUAGCUGGUCUGAGAGGACGACCAGACACACGGGAAUUGAGACUCGGUCCAGACUCCUACGGGAGGCAGCAGUGGGGAAUUUUGGACAAUGGGCGCAAGCCUGAUCCAGCCAUUCCGCGUGCAGGAUGAAGGCCCUCGGGUUGUAAACUGCUUUUGUACGGAACGAAACGGCUCUCUCUAAUACAGGGGGCUAAUGACGGUACCGUAAGAAUAAGCACCGGCUAACUACGUGCCAGCAGCCGCGGUAA